UACGGAGGGGGCUAGCGUUGUUCGGAAUUACUGGGCGUAAAGCGCACGUAGGCGGCUUUGUAAGUUAGAGGUGAAAGCCCGGAGCUCAACUCCGGAAUUGCCUUUAAGACUGCAUCGCUAGAAUUGUGGAGAGGUAAGUGGAAUUCCGAGUGUAGAGGUGAAAUUCGUAGAUAUUCGCAAGAACACCAGUGGCGAAGGCGGCUCACUGGCCCGAUACUGACGCUGAGGCACGAAAGCGUGGGGAGCAAACAGG
Molecule: ribosomal RNA, 253 nt
Filed under: uncultured bacterium
Lineage: Bacteria
Description: partial 16S ribosomal RNA
Rfam family: Bacterial small subunit ribosomal RNA
Source: RNAcentral